This 366-nucleotide transfer-messenger RNA is filed under the name Buchnera aphidicola str. Ak (Acyrthosiphon kondoi). Its description in RNAcentral is "transfer-messenger RNA Buchn_aphid_Ako". It matches the Rfam family "transfer-messenger RNA". Rfam says of the family: Bacterial tmRNA, also known as 10Sa RNA or SsrA, is named for its dual tRNA and mRNA-like properties. Its role is to liberate the mRNA from a stalled ribosome. The record is from RNAcentral. Lineage: Bacteria; Pseudomonadati; Pseudomonadota; Gammaproteobacteria; Enterobacterales; Erwiniaceae.
GGGGCUGCUUUUGGAUUUGACAAAAUUAUCAACAAAGUAAAGUGCAUGCCGAGGAACGGUUUGCCUCGAUAAAAGCCGUAAAAAAAUAAUUGCAAAUAAUAAACAAAACUACGCUUUAGCAGCUUAAAAAACUGUAUGAAGCCCUUCCUUCUCAGCCUCUCUCUCUUAGGACGAGAAAACAGGAAGGUCAAAUAAGAGAAAACGUAGCUAUCAAGCUUGAUGAUAGCGCGAAGUAAAUUUUCAAGCUAUAUACCUAAAAUGAGUUUUUCCAAAUUAGGUAAUGAAUUGAAAAAAGAAAAAACUAAGCAUGUAGUACUUUAUUCGUAGAAAUUUUGGACGCGGGUUCAAAUCCCGCCAGCUCCACCA